This 64-nucleotide transfer RNA is filed under the name Ovis aries (sheep). It matches the Rfam family "tRNA". From Rfam's summary of the family: Transfer RNA (tRNA) molecules are approximately 80 nucleotides in length. Their secondary structure includes four short double-helical elements and three loops (D, anti-codon, and T loops). Lineage: Eukaryota; Metazoa; Chordata; Mammalia; Artiodactyla; Bovidae. The record is from Rfam by way of RNAcentral.
UCCCAGGUGGCUCAGCGGUAGAGAAUCUGCCUGCCAAGCAGGAGACAGUUUCAAUCCCUGGGUG